GCGUCAGCCGGUGGUGCAACGGUUAGCAUACGCGCCUGGAAAGAGUGAGAUCUGGGUUCGAAUCCCGGCUGACGCA
This is a non-coding RNA of Parelaphostrongylus tenuis, 76 nucleotides long. The record is from the annotation of a GenBank genome assembly. Lineage: Eukaryota; Metazoa; Nematoda; Chromadorea; Rhabditida; Metastrongylidae.